Molecule: ribosomal RNA, 301 nt
Filed under: uncultured bacterium
Lineage: Bacteria
Description: partial 16S ribosomal RNA
Rfam family: Bacterial small subunit ribosomal RNA
Source: RNAcentral
CAGUCGCCGCGGUAACACGUAGGUGGCAAGCGUUGUCCGGAAUUAUUGGGCGUAAAGGGCUCGCAGGCGGUUUCUUAAGUCUGAUGUGAAAGCCCUCGGCUCAACCGGGGAGGGUCAUUGGAAACUGGGAAACUUGAGUGCAGAAGAGGAGAGUGGAAUUCCACGUGUAGCGGUGAAAUGCGUAGAGAUGUGGAGGAACACCAGUGGCGAAGGCGACUCUCUGGUCUGUAACUGACGCUGAGGAGCGAAAGCGUGGGGAGCGAACAGGAUUAGAUACCCCGUAGUCCCUGUCUCUUAUACA